GCCGGGCAUGGUGGCUCAUGCCUGUAAUCUCAGCACUUUAGGAGGCUGAGGCAGGUGGAUCACUUGAGGUCAGGAGUUCGAGACCAGCCUGACCAACAUAGUGAAACCCCGUCUCUA
Unclassified non-coding RNA from Papio anubis (olive baboon), 117 nucleotides. It matches the Rfam family "Metazoan signal recognition particle RNA". Rfam says of the family: The signal recognition particle (SRP) is a universally conserved ribonucleoprotein. It is involved in the co-translational targeting of proteins to membranes. NCBI's taxonomy places the organism in Eukaryota, Metazoa, Chordata, Mammalia, Primates, Cercopithecidae. The record is from Ensembl.